UUCCUAGUGGUCCAGCACUUAAGACGCUGCACUCCCAAUGCAGAGGACCUGGGUUCAGUCCCUGGUCAGGGAA
RNAcentral lists this transfer RNA (73 nucleotides) under Ovis aries (sheep). It matches the Rfam family "tRNA". Rfam says of the family: Transfer RNA (tRNA) molecules are approximately 80 nucleotides in length. Their secondary structure includes four short double-helical elements and three loops (D, anti-codon, and T loops). Further hydrogen bonds mediate the characteristic L-shaped molecular structure. tRNAs have two regions of fundamental functional importance: the anti-codon, which is responsible for specific mRNA codon recognition, and the 3' end, to which the tRNAs corresponding amino acid is attached (by aminoacyl-tRNA synthetases). tRNAs cope with the degeneracy of the genetic code in two manners: having more than one tRNA (with a specific anti-codon) for a particular amino acid; and 'wobble' base-pairing, i.e. permitting non-standard base-pairing at the 3rd anti-codon position. Lineage: Eukaryota; Metazoa; Chordata; Mammalia; Artiodactyla; Bovidae. The record is from Rfam by way of RNAcentral.